Molecule: unclassified non-coding RNA, 3690 nt
Filed under: Hevea brasiliensis (rubber tree)
Lineage: Eukaryota; Viridiplantae; Streptophyta; Magnoliopsida; Malpighiales; Euphorbiaceae
Source: RNAcentral
GAGGGGAAAUAAUCUAAAUAUAAUUUAAUUUCUCAAAAUAGGAUCUAGCAUUCACACCCAGAUGUGCAGAAGCUGUAAAAAUAAUGAUAAGGAGAACAAUACAUGCACCAAUCACAUAGUUGUAACAAAAUUAGUUUCCAUCAACAUGCUUGAGAAUGUAGCCAUGUGAUCCCAGUCUUCAAGAUGGCUUCUUUAAGAACCACAGCAAGCUGAUUUUUGGGCAGCUUGGUUGGCCCCUCCUGCCUGGUCCGGUUGGUUAAUUUUGAUCGUCUGUGGCUGCAAAAUCCAACACGAGAAUGCUUCAUAUAUCAGAAAACACGCAGCGCGUUAGAAACUCAAGCCUAGGUUUGGGAUAAUUUUAACAGCAUGAAAUACUGAUACUCAAUUUCAAUAGAAUGAGCAAUAUUCCAUAUUUGACUAUCAGCGACAAACCGAAAAAUAAAAUUCAGAAAUUAGAUAAAACAAACCAAUCAAAAAGAUUAUAAUGUAGAACCCAUUUCUCCUCUUUUCCUUGAUACACAAAUUUCGAUUUCCCAGAUUCGCUUACUAUCCAUGAUUAGCAAAUUCUGAGACAUCAAUUGGAUGAAUAACAACUAGAAUUUGAGAAACUAAUGAAGCAAUAAAUUUACCAUGAAUAACAUUUACAUUGAAAUUGCAGUUUUACACGUUGUGAAAAUUGUGGCACUCAAAGGCAAAAGUUCUAAUAAUUCGUACCUCAGCCUUUGAAUCGGUAUCUGCAAGCCUUUGCUUGAUAUCCCUAGCUAUCGAAAAGAAAACCUCUUCCACAUUUAAAUUUGUCUUUGCACUCGUCUCAAAAAACUUGAUGCCAUAUUCAUCUGCAAGAGCCUGGCCCUUUGAGGUAGGAACAGCCCUUUUGCUUUCAUCCAUGUCUGCCUUGUUACCCACCAAUAUCUUGUUCACAUUGUCAGAAGCAUGCUGUUCAAUAUUACGGAUCCAAUUCCUAAUGUCUAGACAUAAGAUAAAUAACUAAAUGAACAAGUAUAAUUACAGAGAAUAUAAAGAUAGAGAAGACAAUAAAUAACAAGUUAAGAUCAUUAUUCCACAAGUAAUAAUGAUAGCAGUAAUAAUGAUAGCUUCACCAAUGAUAAGGUCCACAAUUAUAUAGUUUGAUAGAAAAUAAUACAAAUAAUUCAGCAAUCCAAUCAAUAAGAAUGAUAGAUGAGAGCAUGGAAAUCUAAACUUCAGAAGAUAGAAGUAAAAGAAGUAAUUACUAUUAAAAGAUGAUUCAUCAGUGACAUCAUACACGAGCAAAAUACCCAUAGCUCCACGGUAAUAAGCAAUCAUACAAAGCAGCUCAAUCUAUAUUUCAACAAUUUCUUUGUAAAGUCAUCCCUUUACUUCAAUUCCAAGUUAAAACAGAGUAACAGACCAAUUCUGGGGUACAUUGCACGCCUUCAUGCUUCAGUUUUUGACAAGAGACUCCAACCAAAGUCAGUCUAAGGCUGAGAAGCUAGGAAGCAUGCAUAUGGCAAAACUUGCAGGUGUCCCUUCAUCAAAUCUAUAUUGAAUAUGAAAAAUGUUCUAAAUAUACAGCUGCAUUUAAACUUUCAAGGAGGAAAAAAAGAGAAUAUAAUCUCAAUAUUGAAUACAAUAGGGAUAUGGUUGAACAAUAUGCCACUAUCCCUCAUAUCCUUCAAGGUCAGAGCCUCCUCUGCUGGAAAAAAUCUUGAUUCCAUUGGUGGAAAUCAGGAGAUAAAAGAUCAGCAUUUGUUCAACAUAGGAGGGCAGUUGUAAUAGUUCGAAAACGUUCUUGACCAGCAGUAUCCCAAAUUUGCAAUUUGAUCCGUUUUCCAUCAAGCUCAAUUGUUCUUAUCUUAAAAUCAAUGCCAAUGGUUGUAAUGAAACUAGUCGUAAAGGAACCAUCUGAGAAACGCAAAAGAAGGCAACUCUUACCCACACUUGCUAAGUCAUCUAAAAUAUAUAACUCCAACAAACAGGCAAGCUCAUGUGGUGCCAUAUGCAUCGUCCUGGCAUUGGAAAACCUGACAUGGCUGUUUCCAUUCCAGCGGCCACUUCAUUCAGUUCAUGUAAUUUGGUAUAUUAAUCAUUAAUGAAAGACAACUACUGCAAAAAUUAUUAUAAUGAAAGUAAUUUGUACCAGCUUACACUAUGGAUGCUAUCCAAUUCAUUUAAAUUUUGACCAAGAGAAGAGCAAACAUGUAUAGUUCUAUACCUGAACUCCAUAAUCACACAGUUGUCGGCAAUUACUUUAACAUUCCAAUAUUAAGUCACAUGCUUGCAUAAUAAUUAAGAAAAAAAUACCUCAAAAAAUUUAGGAAAAAGUAAAGAGGAGCGGCAUUUAAAUACAUAUACAAGGAGUCAAUGCUGGAAGUAAAAUAGAAAUUAGAUAACGAUUCAGAAGCAAUCAGUAAGAAACAUCAAAUCAAUUAGAUAAUGCACAAGUCCGCUUCAGAAAACAAUGCAUUUGAUAAAAUAUUCAUCACUUUAGAUAUCAUUAAAAAUAGCAAUUUCGAUCAAAAUUUCAUGCUUCCCUGCAUCUAUGCAUCUUCCAACUCCAAAGUCGCCGUAGUGGCCUCCUAAUCACUUCCCAAAACAACCCAUCAGAUAUUGAAUCUAGUGAUAAAUUUUAUGUUCAAUAUUGACCUAAAAAGCUGAGUCAAAGUAAAGCUUAAAACAAGCAUUGUACAAUCAAUCGUUGGAAAUGCGAGUCAUUUUCGUGCCUAAUAGCCAGGAUCCAGAGCACAUACUUGCAAGCAUAUUUCAUCAACUAGUAGACGAUUGAUCAAACAUCAAAUUGAAGAGAAAAACGAGAAGAUAACAUUUCAAUUCAAAUAGAUUCAAACAAUUCCCUGUCACAGAGGUUAGAAAAGUAAAAUCAUACCGCUAUCGCCGAUCAAGAGAAGCUUUAUAAGGUAAUCGUAAUCGGCACGAGCUCUUGCAGGUGGAGCAGCCAUUGAUGAAUUACUAUCACAAAGCCCAAUCAGAACAGAAAAAAUAGAAACCAAAAAAAAAAAAAUUAAACCCUAGAGAGAAAAUGCAUCAGUGAACAUAAAUUAACAUGAACGAUGAAGGACAGUGAAAACUGAGAAAAAAAUAUAUAAAAUGCAAAUUAAUCGAAGAAUAAGUACCAGAUCGGGAAGGUGAGAGUGAGAUCUAUCUAAUUAGAGGAGAUUAGUAAUGAAGAAGGAAAGUGUCUUCCAGUUCAAGCACGUCAGCACCGGCCGGCCAUUGAAAAAUUUUUAGAGAGAGAAAGAGAACAGAAGAGAGGAUUGUUAAGGGAGAAACUUCGAUGCAACUUUUAAGUAUAGUAUUCACCUUAUGGCCGUUCGAUUAUGGAUUGUAUUAGAUCUGUGUGAUAUCCAACGCUCGAUAUUGAAGUCGAUGAUAAUGCCGAGAUACUGCGGAAUACGAUUUUCUACUAUUCGGGUUACCUGCAACGAUAUCGUUUAAUUUGUAAAGUUCUGAGACGACGUCAUCUACUGCGUUUUAGGUUCGUUUAGCCCAACAGAAGAAUUAUCCUUUCCUUGGGACAGUUUUAUGGUAUUAGAAAGAAGGAUUCCACGGUGAAUCCUUUGUGACCUGCAAAUCCAAGAAAGGGAUUUAAAUGCAAUCUUUAGUGAUUAUAUGUAUAUUGAAAAUAAUGCUCGUAAAAUUUCUGUUCUAUCAGAGUAGAGGGAUCUAAUUAUAUUUAAUGAAGGUAGAGAAUAU